AUAGAGAUUCAUUUGAAGAUCAAAGGUUAGAAUUUUAGAACUAGAUUAGAGCUUAUUCCAAAGAUGUAAGAUUGGUUUUGAUAGGAUUUGAAGAGAGUUAACAAUUGUUAUUGGAAGUCAAAGUUUAUAUUGGUAAUUUGGAAUUUAUGCAAUGAAAUUAGGACUAGCAUUCUUGGCUAAUUCAUAAAAUUGGUAUUUCUUCCAUAGUUUAAAUUUUGAUAGUACUUGGAUAAUUAGAUGUUCUAAGUGUUUGUAAAUUUUUGUGAUAAUUCAAGAAUGCAAUUGGAAGAUAACUAGGUUUUUAUAUAAGAACAUAUAGGAAGUUGGCAGUUUGGGAUUGGAUAGGAUUUUUGUGAUAUCUAAAGAUCUACUAAUUGGAUCAAGGUAAAAUAUGGCAUGGUAUUGAAGGACUUAAAGAUUAAGGUACACAUCAAUUUUGAAUUGAAGUUAAUAGUUGAAGAAGGAGAAAUCAGUGCUGGAACUUUUGCUUCACCUUUUAAGUUGGCAGCUAAGAGACAUUAGUACAAUUCUUGGAAGUUUUUUUAUAAUUUAUAAGUUGAAUUAGGUUGAAAUUUCUUGAGCAUAUAGAAGACUUAUAUUGAAAAUUGCAUGAAAAGUUUUAUAUUAAAUGGAUGGUCAAAUUAGAAGUUACAGCUUGUCAAAGUUCACUAAUUAGGAUUGGGGCUUAUAAAAAAAAUCUAAAUUGCUUAAAUAUGAAAGUAAUAAGAUAAUUGAGGUUUAUGUGUGAUUGAGACUAAUAAGAAGAGUGUUUUUUAGCACUUUUGAAUUGGAAUUUGGAUUAUAUUCUUUUCAU
RNAcentral lists this long non-coding RNA (814 nucleotides) under Physcomitrium patens. RNAcentral describes it as "long non-coding RNA (PPAT_LNC010050)". Lineage: Eukaryota; Viridiplantae; Streptophyta; Bryopsida; Funariales; Funariaceae. The record is from RNAcentral.